This 253-nucleotide ribosomal RNA is filed under the name uncultured bacterium. RNAcentral's name for it is "partial 16S ribosomal RNA". It matches the Rfam family "Bacterial small subunit ribosomal RNA", at positions 524 to 776 of the family's 1533-position model. The record is from RNAcentral.
UACGGAGGGUGCGAGCGUUGUCCGGAAUCACUGGGCGUAAAGGGCGCGUAGGCGGCCUGAUAAGUAGGGGGUGAAAUCCUGCGGCUUAACCGCAGGGCUGCCUUCUAAACUGUCGGGCUAGAGCACGGUAGAGGCAGAUGGAAUUCCCGGUGUAGCGGUGGAAUGCGUAGAGAUCGGGAAGAACAUCAGUGGCGAAGGCGGUCUGCUGGGCCGUUGCUGACGCUGAGACGCGAAAGCGUGGGGAGCGAACAGG